This 1768-nucleotide long non-coding RNA is filed under the name Homo sapiens (human). RNAcentral describes it as "HSALNT0302335". The record is from RNAcentral. Lineage: Eukaryota; Metazoa; Chordata; Mammalia; Primates; Hominidae.
GUCCCCUGGGCUUCCUGCAGGGACCUGGAUUCUUAGUAUUUCAGGCUGCUGUCCCUUUUUUUUUUUCAUUUCCUUUUUGUUUUUGUUGUUGAUGUGACCGCGUGUCCACAACCCUGGGAUUCCCUCGCCCUCAGAUUCCAGAAUCCAAUUUCUUGGAUUUCAGUGUUUUUAAGGUGGGAGGUCUCGCUAUGCUUCCCAGGCUGGACUCAAAUUCCUGGGCUCAAGUGAUUCCCCCGCCUCAGCCUCCUGAGUAGCUGGGACUACAGAUAUGGCAUGUCAGUCUGGUGGUCUAGCCAGAGGAAGACUCCUGGAGCUGGUGAACUGUGCAUGGAUAUGCAGUCACGGGCAGCCCACCUCCUACUCCUCACCCUCCCUGUGCCUGUGAGGGUCUGCACUCACCCUCUUCCCACAUGCUGCUUCAAUGUUGAUAUCUUGAAGAGGUUCCAGCCUGGCAUGGUGGCUCACACCUGUAAUCCCAGCACUCUGGGAGUUCAAGGUGGGAGGAUUGCUUGAGCCCAGGAGUUCAAGAACAGCCUAGGCAACCUAGUGAGACCACAUCUCUACAAAAAAUUUAAAAAUUAGCUCAACGUGGUGGUGUGUGUCCAUAGUCCCAGCUACUCAGGAGACUGAGAUAGGAGGAUCACUGGAGCCCACAGGCUACAGUGAGCAAUGAUUGUGCCACUGCACUCUAGCCUGGGUGACAGAGCAAGACAUUGUCGCCCAGAAAAAACAAAAAGAGAAAAUAGAAGAGGUUCUUACUGUACAAUAGGACUUUUUUUUUUCUUUUUUGGAGUCAGAGUCUUGCUUUGUCACCCAGGCUGGAGUGCAAUCGCACGAUCUCAGCUCACUGCAGCCUCCGCCUCCUGGGUUCAAGCGAUUCUUCUGCCUCAGCAUCCUGAGUAGUUGGGGUUACAGGCAUGGGCCAGCACGCCCGGCUAAUUUUUAUAUUUUUAGUAGAUGGGGUUUCACCAUAUUGGCCAGGCUGGUCUUGAACUCCUGAUCUCAAGUGAUCUACCUGCCUCGGCCUCCCAAAGUGAUAGGAUCACAGGCGUGAGCCACCUCACCCAGCCACAAUAAGAGCUUUUUAAUGAGAAGAAGACACAAGUCUUGAUUGAGAAUUUCUCUUCCUGAGAGGAAGUACCAGCAUGUUAUGGACCUUAGCUGAUUUGUCUUUAAAAAUCUCAAGCUGUAAUAAUUCCCAGUUGCUCAGUGCACAGUGAAUGAGGCUGAUAUUUAAACAGAACGCCUCAAAGGCACCCGCUGUGUCCACACUUUCUCCCUGCCUGUCCUAUGCCUCUCCAGGUGAUGUCCAUCUUCUCCUUGAAGCCCUCUCUGGCUGCUCCAGUCCCUGAGCUUUCCUUCCUGCACUCAUACAGCAUGAGGAAGGCUCCAUCUUUUUCUAGAUGUGCUAUUUUUUUUAGCAUUUGCUGUGUGCACUUUAGAGGCUCAUUGCCUCUUUGAGACCAAGGAUGGCACUGUCCCUUCUCUCUAGUUGCUCUGAGUGCCAAGCACAGCCCUGAACACCAAAUACUUUGACUCUUCUGUGGCUACUCAACCCUCCUGGCUGUUCCUUCAUCACCCUGGACCGGCCCCCACUCCAGGGUCUUUGCACUUGCUCUCCCUCUGCUUAGAAAGCCCUUCUCCCUGCAAUCUGCAGGGGCUUGAUUACUCUUCUCUUUCAGGCCUUUGCUCAAAUGUCACCUCAUCAAUGCACCCUUCUCUGACCAUCCUAUUGAAUAUUCCAAAUCUUUUUUUUUUUUUUUUUUUU